This 65-nucleotide small RNA is filed under the name Xanthomonas axonopodis. RNAcentral's name for it is "sX9". It matches the Rfam family "Xanthomonas sRNA sX9". The record is from RNAcentral. Lineage: Bacteria; Pseudomonadati; Pseudomonadota; Gammaproteobacteria; Lysobacterales; Lysobacteraceae.
AUGUACCCCUCGUACACUGCGCCGUCCACGCCCACCUGACGACCGCUCGCUACGUUUUGUUAGCC